GCAUGGGUGGCGGAAUUGGCAGACGCACUAGCUUGAGGUGCUAGCGAGGUAACUCUCGUAGGGGUUCGAGUCCCCUCCCGUGCA
This 84-nucleotide transfer RNA is filed under the name Planctomycetota bacterium. RNAcentral describes it as "Planctomycetes bacterium (soil metagenome) tRNA-Leu". It matches the Rfam family "tRNA". Rfam says of the family: Transfer RNA (tRNA) molecules are approximately 80 nucleotides in length. Their secondary structure includes four short double-helical elements and three loops (D, anti-codon, and T loops). Further hydrogen bonds mediate the characteristic L-shaped molecular structure. tRNAs have two regions of fundamental functional importance: the anti-codon, which is responsible for specific mRNA codon recognition, and the 3' end, to which the tRNAs corresponding amino acid is attached (by aminoacyl-tRNA synthetases). tRNAs cope with the degeneracy of the genetic code in two manners: having more than one tRNA (with a specific anti-codon) for a particular amino acid; and 'wobble' base-pairing, i.e. permitting non-standard base-pairing at the 3rd anti-codon position. Lineage: Bacteria; Pseudomonadati; Planctomycetota. The record is from RNAcentral. RNAcentral also lists the same sequence under 1 other name.